UAUCUUUUUUUCUUAUUUUAUCAUUCUCGGUUAUUUUUUAUUGCAUUUUUAUAAUUUUUCAUUAACUUUUUCUCCUUUCAAAUUUUUCUUCUUUUUUUUUAUGUGCUUUCAUUUUUUUUUUGUUCACUUUUUUCUUUGUUUUAAAAUUUUCUAUAAAUUUUUUUCUUUUCGUUUUAUUUCAUAUUUUUGCCUCUUCAUUUUUUAUUUUUUUCUUCUUUUCCUCAUUUUUUUCUCAAAUUUUAUUUUAUAUAUUUUGUAUUUUCAUUUUUUAUUUUUUUCUUGCUUUCUCUUAAAUCUUUUUGUUCGCACUUUUUUUAUUUCUUCUUUAUAAUUUUAAAACCUCAAACUUCUUUUUUUGUGCACAUUCUUUUAUUUUUAUUUAUAUUUUUUAUUAACUUUUAUUUUAUUUUUCAUCUUUUUCCUCUAUUUGUUAUAUAUAUAUAUAUAUAUAUUUUGUUUUCUUUGUGCAUUCUAAACUAAAAGUUUUUUCCAUUUUGUAUUUGAAAUUUUUAUUCAUUUUGUCUUUUUAUAUUUUUUUGAUUCGUAAAUUUUUUAUUUUCUUACUUUGUUACUUUUUAUUUUUUUCCUUUUUUCGUAUUUUAUUUUAUUUUUUCUUUUAUAUUAAUAUUUUCUCUUAAUUUAUUUUUUAUUUAUAUUUUAAAAAAUUUUUAUAAAGUUCAAAAUUUUUUAUUUUUUCAUUUUCCUAUUUUUUUGUCUAUUUUUUUUGCUAUUUUUUGUUCUAUUUUAUAAAUUUUCAAUAACUUUUUCCCUUCAAAAUUUUCUUUCUUUUUGCCUUUUUUUCAUAUGCUUUUGUUUUUAUUUGUUUUAAUUCUUUCAUUGUUUUAAAAUUAUUUAUAUUUCUUAAGCUUUUUUUAUUCCAAAUCUUUUCUUUUCAUUUUUAUUCUUUUCUUUUUUUUCACAAAUUUCCUUUCACUUCUUAUUUGCGUUUUUAAAUUCUCAUACUUUUUUUUUUUUGCACUUUCUCCUUUGGUUUUCAUUUUUAUUUUGAAUUAACUUUUCUCUUUUUUAAUUUUUUGCCUUUGACUUUUUAUAUUGUUUUCUCAUUAUGUCUUAUAUGUUUUUCAAUUUUUUGUAUUUUUUGAACUUUUUUUUUUAUUUUGUCUUUUUUAUUUUCUUACUUUUUAUAUUUUUAUUGUAUUUUUGUUCAUCUUUUUAUUUUGGUUUAUUUUUUUAUUUUAUCAUUGUUGGUUAUUUUCUAUUGCAUUUUUAUAAUUUUUCUUUAACUUUUUCUCCUUUCAAAUUUUUCUUCUUUUUUUUACUUAUUUUUUCACGUGCUUUCAUAUUUUUUUUGUUUUCACUUUUUUCUUUUUGUUUUAUUUCAUAAUUUUGACUCUUCAUUUUUUAUUUUUUUCUUGUUUUAACUUUUUUUUUUUGCACUUCCUUGUCUUGUUUUUAUUUUUAUUUUGUAUUAACUUUUUCCCUUUGUUAAUUUUUUUGUCUUUGAUUUUUUUUAUUUUUUUCUUAUUACUUUUUUGCUUAUGUUUUCUAAAUUAAUUUUUUCUAUUUUGUAAUCCCUUUUCAUUUUUUAUCUCCUUUUACUUUUUUAUCUUUCAUUUUUUAUACCUUUAUUUCUUAUUGUUUGUUAUAUUUUUUUUAUUUUUUGUUCGUAUUUUAUAAACUAAUUUUUUUUUUACAAUUUUAAAACCUCUAACUUCUUUUUUUGUGCACUUCCUUUUGUUUUUAUUCCUUUUUUUGUUAACUUUUAUUUUAUUUUUUAUCUUUGAUUUUUUAUAUCUUUUUCUUGUAUUUGUUUUUUUUUUUCUUUAAACUAAAAGUUUUUUCUGUUUUAUAUUUCAAAUUUCUAUUCAUUUUGUCUUUUUAUAUUUUUUUGAUUUGCUAACUUUUUAUUUUCUUACUUUUUUAUUUUUUUUCCAUUUUUGGUAUUUUAUUUUAUUUUUUCUUUUAUAUUACUAUUUUUUAUUUAUAUUUUUAAAAAAUUUUAUAAAAUUUAAAAUAAUUAUUUUUUGAAUCUUUUUUCUUUUUUCAUUUUCAUUUUUUUUGUUCUAUGUUGUAAUUUUUAAAUAACUUUUUCCCUUCAAAGUUUUCUUUCUUUUUGCUUUUUUUUUUUUUUUCAUCUGCUUUCAGUGUUGCUUGUUUUAAUUUUUUUGUUGUUUUAAAAUUUUUUAUAUUUCUUUUUUCCUUUUUUAUUCCAAAUCUUUUGUCUUUUCAUUUUUAUUCUUUUCUUGCUUUUCUUAUUUUUUUCACAAAUUUCCUUUCAUUUCUUAUUUGCAUCUUUAAAUUAUUAGACUUUUUUUGUGCACUCUCUUUUGUUUUUAUUUUAUUUUUUAUCUUUGAUUUUUAUAUUUUUUCCUAUAUUUGUUAUAUUUUUUUUUUGUUUUUCUUUGUAUAUUCUGAACUAAAAGUUUUUUCUAUUUUGUAUUUGAAAUUUUUAUUCAUUUUUCUUUUAUAUUUUUUUAUUCGCUAAUUUUUUAAUAUCUUACUUUUUUAUGUUUUGCUUUUUUGGUAUUUUAUUGAAUUUUUUCUUCUAUAUUAAUAUUUUAUCUUAAUUUAUUUUUCCAUUUAUUUUUAUUUAUAUUUUAAAAAAUUUUUAUAAAGUUCAAAAUUUUUUUUUUAUUUUCCCUUUUUUUUUUUGCUAUUUUUGUUCUACUUUGUAAUUUUUUAAUAACUUUUUCCCUUCAAAUUUUUCCUUCUUUUUGCUUUUUUUCAUAUGCUUUCAUUUUUACUUGUUUUAAUUUUUUCGUUAUUUUAAAAAUUUUUAUUUUUUUCUUUUUUAUUCCAAAUCUUUUGUCUUUUCAUUUUUAUUCUUUUCUUGCUUUUCUUAUUUUUUUUUCACAAAUUUCCUUUCAUUUCUUAUUUGCGUUUUUAAAUUCUCGUACUUUUUUUAUUUUGCAUUAACUUUUCUCUUUUUUAAUUUUUUUUCUCACUUUUUAUAUUGUUUUAUUAUUAGGCUUAUAUGUUUUUCAAUUUUUUUCCUUUUUUAUUUUCUUACUUUUUAUAUUUUUUGUUGUAUUUUUGUUUUUUUUCUUUUUUUGUGCUUUAUUUAUCUUUUUUCUUUUGCUUUAAUUUUUUUUCUUAUUUUAUUUUUAUUUUUUAUUUCUUUCUUUUUUUAUAGUUUCAUAAAUUUUUGUUAAGUUUUCAAAUUUUUUAUUUUUCUAUCUUUUUUUCUUAUUUUAUCAUUCUCGGUUAUUUUUUAUUGCAUUUUUAUAAUUUUUCAUUAACUUUUUCUCCUUUCAAAUUUUUCUUCUUUUUUUUUAUGUGCUUUCAUUUUUUUUUUGUUCACUUUUUUCUUUGUUUUAAAAUUUUCUAUAAAUUUUUUUCUUUUCGUUUUAUUUCAUAUUUUUGCCUCUUCAUUUUUUAUUUUUUUCUUCUUUUCCUCAUUUUUUUCUCAAAUUUUAUUUUAUAUAUUUUGUAUUUUCAUUUUUUAUUUUUUUCUUGCUUUCUCUUAAAUCUUUUUGUUCGCACUUUUUUUUAUUUCUUCUUUAUAAUUUUAAAACCUCAAACUUCUUUUUUUGUGCACAUUCUUUUAUUUUUAUUUAUAUUUUUUAUUAACUUUUAUUUUAUUUUUCAUCUUUUUCCUCUAUUUGUUAUAUAUAUAUAUAUAUAUUUUGUUUUCUUUGUGCAUUCUAAACUAAAAGUUUUUUCCAUUUUGUAUUUGAAAUUUUUAUUCAUUUUGUCUUUUUAUAUUUUUUUGAUUCGUAAAUUUUUUAUUUUCUUACUUUGUUACUUUUUAUUUUUUUCCUUUUUUCGUAUUUUAUUUUAUUUUUUCUUUUAUAUUAAUAUUUUCUCUUAAUUUAUUUUUUAUUUAUAUUUUAAAAAAUUUUUAUAAAGUUCAAAAUUUUUUAUUUUUUCAUUUUCCUAUUUUUUUGUCUAUUUUUUUUUGCUAUUUUUUGUUCUAUUUUAUAAAUUUUCAAUAACUUUUUCCCUUCAAAAUUUUCUUUCUUUUUGCCUUUUUUUCAUAUGCUUUUGUUUUUAUUUGUUUUAAUUCUUUCAUUGUUUUAAAAUUAUUUAUAUUUCUUAAGCUUUUUUUAUUCCAAAUCUUUUCUUUUCAUUUUUAUUCUUUUCUUUUUUUCACAAAUUUCCUUUCACUUCUUAUUUGCGUUUUUAAAUUCUCAUACUUUUUUUUUUUUGCACUUUCUCCUUUGGUUUUCAUUUUUAUUUUGAAUUAACUUUUCUCUUUUUUAAUUUUUUGCCUUUGACUUUUUAUAUUGUUUUCUCAUUAUGUCUUAUAUGUUUUUCAAUUUUUUGUAUUUUUUGAACUUUUUUUUUAUUUUGUCUUUUUUAUUUUCUUACUUUUUAUAUUUUUAUUGUAUUUUUGUUCAUCUUUUUAUUUUGGUUUAUUUUUUUAUUUUAUCAUUGUUGGUUAUUUUCUAUUGCAUUUUUAUAAUUUUUCUUUAACUUUUUCUCCUUUCAAAUUUUUCUUCUUUUUUUUACUUAUUUUUUCACGUGCUUUCAUAUUUUUUUUGUUUUCACUUUUUUAUUCUUUUUUGUUUUAUUUCAUAAUUUUGACUCUUCAUUUUUUAUUUUUUUCUUGUUUUAACUUUUUUUUUUUGCACUUCCUUGUCUUGUUUUUAUUUUUAUUUUGUAUUAACUUUUUCCCUUUGUUAAUUUUUUUGUCUUUGAUUUUUUUUAUUUUUUCUUAUUACUUUUUUGCUUAUGUUUUCUAAAUUAAUUUUUUCUAUUUUGUAAUCCCUUUUCAUUUUUUAUCUCCUUUUACUUUUUUAUCUUUCAUUUUUUAUACCUUUAUUUCUUAUUGUUUGUUAUAUUUUUUUUAUUUUUUGUUCGUAUUUUAUAAACUAAUUUUUUUUUUACAAUUUUAAAACCUCUAACUUCUUUUUUUGUGCACUUCCUUUUGUUUUUAUUCCUUUUUUUGUUAACUUUUAUUUUAUUUUUUAUCUUUGAUUUUUUAUAUCUUUUUCUUGUAUUUGUUUUUUUUUUCUUUAAACUAAAAGUUUUUUCUGUUUUAUAUUUCAAAUUUCUAUUCAUUUUGUCUUUUUAUAUUUUUUUGAUUUGCUAACUUUUUAUUUUCUUACUUUUUUAUUUUUUUUCCAUUUUUGGUAUUUUAUUUUAUUUUUUCUUUUAUAUUACUAUUUUUUAUUUAUAUUUUUAAAAAAUUUUAUAAAAUUUAAAAUAAUUAUUUUUUGAAUCUUUUUUCUUUUUUCAUUUUCAUUUUUUUUGUUCUAUGUUGUAAUUUUUAAAUAACUUUUUCCCUUCAAAAUUUUCUUUCUUUUUGCUUUUUUUUUUUUUCAUCUGCUUUCAGUGUUGCUUGUUUUAAUUUUUUUGUUGUUUUAAAAUUUUUUAUAUUUCUUUUUUCCUUUUUUAUUCCAAAUCUUUUGUCUUUUCAUUUUUAUUCUUUUCUUGCUUUUCUUAUUUUUUUCACAAAUUUCCUUUCAUUUCUUAUUUGCAUCUUUAAAUUAUUAGACUUUUUUUGUGCACUCUCUUUUGUUUUUAUUUUAUUUUUUAUCUUUGAUUUUUAUAUUUUUUCCUAUAUUUGUUAUAUUUUUUUUUUGUUUUUCUUUGUAUAUUCUGAACUAAAAGUUUUUUCUAUUUUGUAUUUGAAACUUUUAUUCAUUUUUCUUUUAUAUUUUUUUAUUCGCUAAUUUUUUAAUAUCUUACUUUUUUAUGUUUUGCUUUUUUGGUAUUUUAUUGAAUUUUUUCUUCUAUAUUAAUAUUUUAUCUUAAUUUAUUUUUCCAUUUAUUUUUAUUUAUAUUUUAAAAAAUUUUUAUAAAGUUCAAAAUUUUUUUUUUAUUUUCCCUUUUUUUUUUUUGCUAUUUUUGUUCUACUUUGUAAUUUUUUAAUAACUUUUUCCCUUCAAAUUUUCCUUCUUUUUGCUUUUUUUCAUAUGCUUUCGUUUUUACUUGUUUUAAUUUUUUCGUUAUUUUAAAAAUUUUUAUUUUUUUCUUUUUUAUUCCAAAUCUUUUGUCUUUUCAUUUUUAUUCUUUUCUUGCUUUUCUUAUUUUUUUUUCACAAAUUUCCUUUCAUUUCUUAUUUGCGUUUUUAAAUUCUCGUACUUUUUUUAUUUUGCAUUAACUUUUCUCUUUUUUAAUUUUUUUUCUCACUUUUUAUAUUGUUUUAUUAUUAGGCUUAUAUGUUUUUCAAUUUUUUUCCUUUUUUAUUUUCUUACUUUUUAUAUUUUUUGUUGUAUUUUGUUUUUUUUCUUUUUUUGUGCUUUAUUUAUCUUUUUCUUUUGCUUUAAUUUUUUUCUUAUUUUAUUUUUAUUUUUUAUUUCUUUCUUUUUUAUAGUUUCCAUAAAUUUUUGUUAAGUUUCAAAUUUUUUAUUUUUCUAUCUUUUUUUCUUAUUUUAUCAUUCUCGUUAUUUUUAUUGCAUUUUUAUAAUUUUUCAUUAACUUUUUCUCCUUUCAAAUUUUUCUUCUUUUUUUUUAUGUGCUUUCAUUUUUUUUUGUUCACUUUUUUCUUUGUUUUAAAAUUUUCUAUAAAUUUUUUUCUUUUUGUUUUAUUUCAUAUUUUUGCCUCUUCGUUUUUUAUUUUUUUCUUGCUUUCUCUUAAAUCUUUUUGUUCGCACUUUUUUUUAUUUCUUCUUUAUAAUUUUAAAACCUCAAACUUCUUUUUUUGUGCACAUUCUUUUAUUUUUAUUUAUAUUUUUUAUUAACUUUUAUUUUAUUUUUCAUCUUUUCCUCUAUUUGUUAUAUAUAUAUAUAUAUAUAUUUUUGUUUUCUUUGUGCAUUCUAAACUAAAAGUUUUUUCCAUUUUGUAUUUGAAAUUUUUAUUCAUUUUGUCUUUUUAUAUUUUUUUGAUUCGUAAAUUUUUUAUUUUCUUACUUUGUUACUUUUUAUUUUUUUCCUUUUUUGGUAUUUUAUUUAAUUUUUUCUUUUAUAUUAAUAUUUUCUCUUAAUUUAUUUUUUAUUUAUAUUUUAAAAAAUUUUUAUAAAGUUCAAAAUUUUUUAUUUUUUCAUUUUCCUAUUUUUUUGUCUAUUUUUUUUUGCUAUUUUUUGUUCUAUUUUAUAAAUUUUCAAUAACUUUUUCCCUUCAAAAUUUUCUUUCUUUUUGCCUUUUUUUCAUAUGCUUUUGUUUUUAUUUGUUUUAAUUCUUUCAUUGUUUUAAAAUUAUUUAUAUUUCUUAAGCUUUUUUUAUUCCAAAUCUUUUCUUUUCAUUUUUAUUCUUUUCUUUUUUUCACAAAUUUCCUUUCACUUCUUAUUUGCGUUUUUAAAUUCUCAUACUUUUUUUUUUUUGCACUUUCUCCUUUGGUUUUCAUUUUUAUUUUGAAUUAACUUUUCUCUUUUUUAAUUUUUUGCCUUUGACUUUUUAUAUUGUUUUCUCAUUAUGUCUUAUAUGUUUUUCAAUUUUUUGUAUUUUUUGAACUUUUUUUUUAUUUUGUCUUUUUUAUUUUCUUACUUUUUAUAUUUUUAUUGUAUUUUUGUUCAUCUUUUUAUUUUGGUUUAUUUUUUUAUUUUAUCAUUGUUGGUUAUUUUCUAUUGCAUUUUUAUAAUUUUUCUUUAACUUUUUCUCCUUUCAAAUUUUUCUUCUUUUUUUUACUUAUUUUUUCACGUGCUUUCAUAUUUUUUUUGUUUUCACUUUUUAUUCUUUUUUGUUUUAUUUCAUAAUUUUGACUCUUCAUUUUUUAUUUUUUUCUUGUUUUAACUUUUUUUUUUUUGCACUUCCUUGUCUUGUUUUUAUUUUUAUUUUGUAUUAACUUUUUCCCUUUGUUAAUUUUUUUGUCUUUGAUUUUUUUUAUUUUUUUCUUAUUACUUUUUUGCUUAUGUUUUCUAAAUUAAUUUUUUCUAUUUUGUAAUCCCUUUUCAUUUUUUUAUCUUUCAUUUUUUAUACCUUUAUUUCUUAUUGUUUGUUAUAUUUUUUUAUUUUUUGUUCGUAUUUUAUAAACUAAUUUUUUUUUUACAAUUUUAAAACCUCUAACUUCUUUUUUUGUGCACUUCCUUUUGUUUUUAUUCCUUUUUUUGUCAACUUUUAUUUUAUUUUUUAUCUUUGAUUUUUUAUAUCUUUUUCUUGUAUUUGUUUUUUUUUUUCUUUAAACUAAAAGUUUUUUCUGUUUUAUAUUUCAAAUUUCUAUUCAUUUUGUCUUUUUAUAUUUUUUUGAUUUGCUAACUUUUUAUUUUCUUACUUUUUUAUUUUUUUUCCAUUUUUGGUAUUUUAUUUUAUUUUUUCUUUUAUAUUACUAUUUUUUAUUUAUAUUUUUAAAAAUUUUAUAAAAUUUAAAAUAAUUAUUUUUUGAAUCUUUUUUCUUUUUUCAUUUUCAUUUUUUUUGUUCUAUGUUGUAAUUUUUAAAUAACUUUUUCCCUUCAAAAUUUUCUUUCUUUUUGCUUUUUUUUUUUUUUCAUCUGCUUUCAGUGUUGCUUGUUUUAAUUUUUUUGUUGUUUUAAAAUUUUUUAUAUUUCUUUUUUCCUUUUUUAUUCCAAAUCUUUUGUCUUUUCAUUUUUAUUCUUUUCUUGCUUUUCUUAUUUUUUUCACAAAUUUCCUUUCAUUUCUUAUUUGCAUCUUUAAAUUAUUAGACUUUUUUUGUGCACUCUCUUUUGUUUUUAUUUUAUUUUUUAUCUUUGAUUUUUAUAUUUUUUCCUAUAUUUGUUAUAUUUUUUUUUGUUUUUCUUUGUAUAUUCUGAACUAAAAGUUUUUUCUAUUUUGUAUUUGAAACUUUUAUUCAUUUUUCUUUUAUAUUUUUUUAUUCGCUAAUUUUUUAAUAUCUUACUUUUUUAUGUUUUGCUUUUUUGGUAUUUUAUUGAAUUUUUUCUUCUAUAUUAAUAUUUUAUCUUAAUUUAUUUUUCCAUUUAUUUUUAUUUAUAUUUUAAAAAAUUUUUAUAAAGUUCAAAAUUUUUUUUUUUAUUUUCCCUUUUUUUUUUUGCUAUUUUUGUUCUACUUUGUAAUUUUUUAAUAACUUUUUCCCUUCAAAAUUUUCCUUCUUUUUGCUUUUUUUCAUAUGCUUUCGUUUUUACUUGUUUUAAUUUUUUCGUUAUUUUAAAAAUUUUUAUUUUUUUCUUUUUUAUUCCAAAUCUUUUGUCUUUUCAUUUUUAUUCUUUUCUUGCUUUUCUUAUUUUUUUUUCACAAAUUUCCUUUCAUUUCUUAUUUGCGUUUUUAAAUUCUCGUACUUUUUUUAUUUUGCAUUAACUUUUCUCUUUUUUAAUUUUUUUUUCUCACUUUUUAUAUUGUUUUAUUAUUAGGCUUAUAUGUUUUUCAAUUUUUUUCCUUUUUUAUUUUCUUACUUUUUAUAUUUUUGUUGUAUUUUUGUUUUUUUUCUUUUUUGUGCUUUAUUUAUCUUUUUCUUUUGCUUUAAUUUUUUUCUUAUUUUAUUUUUAUUUUUUAUUUCUUUCUUUUUUUAUAGUUUCAUAAUUUUUGUUAAGUUUUCAAAUUUUUUAUUUUUCUAUCUUUUUUUCUUAUUUUAUCAUUCUCGGUUAUUUUUAUUGCAUUUUUAUAAUUUUUCAUUAACUUUUUCUCCUUUCAAAUUUUUCUUCUUUUUUUUAUGUGCUUUCAUUUUUUUUUGUUCACUUUUUUCUUUGUUUUAAAAUUUUCUAUAAAUUUUUUUUCUUUUUGUUUUAUUUCAUAUUUUUGCCUCUUCAUUUUUUAUUUUUUUCUUCUUUUUCUCAUUUUUUUCUCAAAUUUUAUUUUAUAUAUUUUGUAUUUUCAUUUUUUAUUUUUUUCUUGCUUUUUCUUAAAUCUUUUUGUUUGCACUUUUUUUUAUUUCUUCUUUAUAAUUUUAAAACCUCAAACUUCUUUUUUUGUGCACAUUCUUUUAUUUUUAUUUAUAUUUUUUAUUAACUUUUAUUUUAUUUUCAUCUUUUUUCCUCUAUUUGUUAUAUAUAUAUAUAUAUUUUUGUUUUCUUUGUGCAUUCUAAACUAAAAGUUUUUUCGCAUUUUGUAUUUGAAAUUUUUAUUCAUUUUGUCUUUUUAUAUUUUUUUGAUUCGUAAAUUUUUUAUUUUCUUACUUUGUUACUUUUUAUUUUUUUCCUUUUUUCGUAUUUUAUUUUAUUUUUCUUUUAUAUUAAUAUUUUCUCUUAUUUAUUUUUUAUUUAUAUUUAAAAAAUUUUUAUAAAGUUCAAAUUUUUUAUUUUUUCAUUUUCCUAUUUUUUUGUCUAUUUUUUUUUGCUAUUUUUUGUUCUAUUUUAUAAAUUUUCAAUAACUUUUUCCCUUCAAAAUUUUCUUUCUUUUUGCCUUUUUUUCAUAUGCUUUUGUUUUUAUUUGUUUUAAUUCUUUCAUUGUUUUAAAAUUAUUUAUAUUUCUUAAGCUUUUUUUAUUCCAAAUCUUUUCUUUUCAUUUUUAUUCUUUUCUUUUUUCUCACAAAUUUCCUUUCACUUCUUAUUUGCGUUUUUAAAUUCUCAUACUUUUUUUUUUUUGCACUUUCUCCUUUGGUUUUCAUUUUUAUUUUGAAUUAACUUUUCUCUUUUUUAAUUUUUUGCCUUUGACUUUUUAUAUUGUUUUCUCAUUAUGUCUUAUAUGUUUUUCAAUUUUUUGUAUUUUUUGAACUUUUUUUUUUAUUUUGUCUUUUUUAUUUUCUUACUUUUUAUAUUUUUAUUGUAUUUUUGUUCAUCUUUUUAUUUUGGUUUAUUUUUUUAUUUUAUCAUUGUUGGUUAUUUUCUAUUGCAUUUUUAUAAUUUUUCUUUAACUUUUUCUCCUUUCAAAUUUUUCUUCUUUUUUUUACUUAUUUUUUCACGUGCUUUCAUAUUUUUUUUGUUUUCACUUUUUUCUUUGUUUUAAAAUAUUCUAUAAACUUUUUUCUUUUUGUUUUAUUUCAUAAUUUUGACUCUUCAUUUUUUAUUUUUUUCUUGUUUUAACUUUUUUUUUUUGCACUUCCUUGUCUUGUUUUUAUUUUUAUUUUGUAUUAACUUUUUCCCUUUGUUAAUUUUUUUGUCUUUGAUUUUUUUUAUUUUUUUCUUAUUACUUUUUUGCUUAUGUUUUCUAAAUUAAUUUUUUCUAUUUUGUAAUCCCUUUUCAUUUUUUAUCUUUCAUUUUUUAUACCUUUAUUUCUUAUUGUUUGUUAUAUUUUUUUUAUUUUUUGUUCGUAUUUUAUAAACUAAUUUUUUUUUACAAUUUUAAAACCUCUAACUUCUUUUUUUGUGCACUUCCUUUUGUUUUUAUUCCUUUUUUUGUUAACUUUUAUUUUAUUUUUUAUCUUUGAUUUUUUAUAUCUUUUUCUUGUAUUUGUUUUUUUUUUUCUUUAAACUAAAAGUUUUUUCUGUUUUAUAUUUCAAAUUUCUAUUCAUUUUGUCUUUUUAUAUUUUUUUGAUUUGCUAACUUUUUAUUUUCUUACUUUUUUAUUUUUUUCCAUUUUUG
This 11215-nucleotide long non-coding RNA is filed under the name Durio zibethinus. RNAcentral describes it as "long non-coding RNA (DZIB_LNC002033)". The record is from RNAcentral. Lineage: Eukaryota; Viridiplantae; Streptophyta; Magnoliopsida; Malvales; Malvaceae.